UACGAAGGACCCGAGCGUUAUCCGGAUUUAUUGGGUUUAAAGGGUGCGUAGGCGGCCUAUUAAGUCAGGGGUGAAAGACGGUAGCUUAACUAUCGCAGUGCCUUUGAUACUGAUGGGCUUGAAUGUAGUUGAGGUAGGCGGAAUGUGACAAGUAGCGGUGAAAUGCAUAGAUAUGUCACAGAACACCAAUUGCGAAGGCAGCUUACUAAAGUAUGAUUGACGCUGAGGCACGAAAGCGUGGGGAUCAAACAGG
Molecule: ribosomal RNA, 253 nt
Filed under: uncultured bacterium
Lineage: Bacteria
Description: partial 16S ribosomal RNA
Rfam family: Bacterial small subunit ribosomal RNA
Source: RNAcentral